CACAUUGCGAAGGGGCGCUCGUCUCGGGCUCGCCUAGGGCGCCUCUGAAGCCCGGGCCGGCCCUGAAUGUGCUGUGUGGUCAUGAGAUAUAAAGUUAAUUGGGAGAGUCUUGGGACUGCUAUUAAGUCAUUGUUUAAAGGAAUACUCCACCCAAAAAAUGAUUUGGCCUCAUUUUCUACUCACCAUACAAUAGGCAGCCACAUUUGCAGUUUUUCUUCAUUUGUUCUAUUGCUUUGUUUGCAGAAGCAAUUUGGAAGAAUUUUAAGGAGGCUACAGAUGACCAAAUCCACUCGGCCAUGAGACUCCAUUUCAAACAGGCCCCAGCUUGGACUGGUGGAGGGGGUUACAGGAGACCCAGGACACCAGUGGUGUAGUUUGAUUUUAAAGGUUUGGUUUGCAGCAAUAAAACAAAAAAAAAAAAAAAUGUUGUUGUUGUUAUUGUUAUGGUUUUAAUUUUGUAUUUACAAUUUGUUCUGUUUUUUUCACUGCAACGUUUAUGUAACGCACCUCCAGAAGGGUUAAUAAAUACAAUCUAUUAAUUUGCAGUCAUUAUUUAAUUGUUUCUUUAUGUUUAUAAGUAUUUUGUAUUUUAUUUUGAAAAACCGGAAGUUUAUUUUGAAGACCGGAAGUAAUAGGCCGCGCUAGUGAAGCAGCUUAACCUCACUAAUGCAUAGACGGAGCACGCGUCUUCACUUCCGUGUGAGAGAGAAAAACGGGAAAAAAGAGAGAGGAAAAACCGUCGUUGAAGCACUUUCCGGCCGCGUUUCUCCUGAAAAAACCAUUGGUCAGGUUCUAUUGUGAUGCUUGGAAAGAGUGAAGCUUCAGCUUUCAUGUCUGACGAAGCUGAUGAGCGAUCCAACUGAUGGCGAGCUCCCAGUCCACCUUCGGUGCUUCAAGCAGAACUUUUAAUUCUGCUACACCACUCAACAGAUUAAGUGGUAGGAUUUGUGUCAGUCCAACUGACCGGCACCAACGAAAGCCUUCCUUGGAUAUCCUUGAAUCUUGACUUUUGACUUUGACUUUUGGAUCCAAACCACCGAGGAACACUCCCAUUUGGACAUUUAUUUAGUUAAUUUAUUUUAUUUCUUUUCUUAGUUUAUGGGCCCAA
Salarias fasciatus (jewelled blenny) is the source of this 1108-nucleotide long non-coding RNA. RefSeq lists it as uncharacterized. Lineage: Eukaryota; Metazoa; Chordata; Actinopteri; Blenniiformes; Blenniidae. The record is from RefSeq and is a predicted model, not a curated record. The transcript is spliced from 3 exons.